CAGGACCGCGCGGAAGGCACAGGGGCGCGGGGGCGGGCGCAGUCUGACGCAUGCGCACCGGCGGCUGAAGUGCCGCUCAUGCGCAGUGCGCUCCUCCCCUUCGGCGGGGGGGGGGUUGCUGCUCUCCCCGGUGACCGGUGGCGCCGAGCGGGGGGAAACCGGGAGCGACCGUGCGGCGGGGGGGUUCCCCCCCCCCCGCACAGGCACCGGAAGCCGUUUGCACUGCACCGUUUAUUGCUGUGGGCCCAGUUAGCCGAGCUUGGGGGGGACCUGGUGGGGUCACUCCGGAGGCAGAGGACCGGAUGUGGGGUAUACCCCUGCAUACCCCACCUUCACCUGGCUUCCUGGUCAAGCAUGACCCAUUCAUGAGAACCCUCUGAGCUCCAUCAUCCAACCAGCUUUUUGCCCCUCUGCAUGUCUACUGGACAUCCACUACUCUCCUCUCCUCCACAAGUGCAGGUCUUUUAUCACAGAAGGCAAUCAGGUUGCUGAGGAAUGAUUUACCUUGGGUAACUCCAUGCCGACUGUUCCCAGGCACCUUCAGGAUGUGCCCAGAAAUGUAAUUGGAGAGGACUGGCUCCAUGACACACUCCUCACCAAUGUGAGGCUGAAUGGCCUGCAGCUCCCCAGGUUGUCCUUGUGGCCUUUUUUGAAGAUGGGCAGAACCUCUUCCUUUUUCUGCUUAUUGGGACUUCCCUUGAUCUCCACAACCUUUCAAAGAUGACAGCAAGCAGCCUUGCUGUCACAGCAGCCAGCUCUCUUUUUUCUCAUGUUCACAUGGAACUUCCUGUGUUUCAGUUUGUGCCCAUUGCCUCAUAUCCUGUCACUGGGCACCACCGAAAAGAGUCUGGCCCCAUCCUCUUGACACCCUCCCUUUAGAUAUUUGUAUACAUUGAUAAGAUCCCCUCUCAGUCUUCUCUUCUCUAGGCUAAACAGACCCAGCUCUCUCAGUCUUUCCUCAUAAGAGAGAUGUUCCAGUCCCCUAAUUAUCUUUGUAGCCCUUCGCUGCACUUGCUCCAGCAGUGCCACAUCCCUCUUGUACUAGGGAGCCCACAACUGGACACAGAACUCCAGAUGUGGCCUCAGCAGGGCUGAGGAGAGGGGGAGGAUCACCUCCUUUGACCUGCUGGCAACACUCUUCCUGAUGCACCCCAGGAUACCAUUGACCUUCUCGGCCACAAGGGCACAAUCCUGCCUCAUGGUUAACUUGGUGUCCACCAGCACUCCCAGGUCCUUCUCCACAGAGCUGCUUUCCAGCAGGUCAACCCCCARCCUGUMCUGSUGCMUGGGGUUAUUCCUCCCYAGGUGCAGGACCCUGCACUUGCCUUUGUUGAACUUCAUGAGGUUCCUCUCCGCCCACCUCUCCAGC
RNAcentral lists this long non-coding RNA (1369 nucleotides) under Apteryx rowi (Okarito brown kiwi). Its description in RNAcentral is "lncRNA (ENSARWG00000014047.1)". The record is from RNAcentral. Lineage: Eukaryota; Metazoa; Chordata; Aves; Apterygiformes; Apterygidae.